CAGCUCCAGCUCCCCCCCCAACGUACACUUCGGCUGCCCCCGCCCCACCACCACGGCCGCCGCCCCACCCGAUUCAAAUCUGAGCCGGCCAACCUCCCCGCACCACCACCAGAAGCAGCGGCAGCGGCAAUUACACUCCUGUCAGCCCCAGUCCAGCGCAGCCCCGCCGAACCUGCCGCCCAGAUCCGUCCGACCGACCGACCCCAUGGGCGCCGAGCCGGA
Molecule: long non-coding RNA, 222 nt
Filed under: Hordeum vulgare
Lineage: Eukaryota; Viridiplantae; Streptophyta; Magnoliopsida; Poales; Poaceae
Description: long non-coding RNA (HVUL_LNC002767)
Source: RNAcentral